CUUGAUUAAUAUAAGAGGUCCAGCCUGCCCAGUGACCUAGUUCAACGGCCGCGGUAUCCUAACCGUGCGAAGGUAGCGUAAUCACUUGUUCUUUAAAUGAGGACUAGUAUGAAUGGCACCACGAGGGUUAAGCUGUCUCCUUUUUCUAAUCAGUGAAACUAAUCUCCCCGUGAAGAAGCGGGGAUUAUACUAUAAGACGAGAAGACCCUAUGGAGCUUAAAACAAAUUAACACUUGCUUCUACCCAUCUUUACUCCUGAACUAACACAUAAAAUAUAGCAUCGUUGAUUAAUAGUUUUCGAUUGGGGUGAUCAUGGAGUAAAAACCAACCUCCACGACGAAAAGGAACACUUCCCUGAGCUAAAAGCUACAACUUUAAGCACUAAAAAAUUAACGCACUUUGACCCAAAUUUUUGAGCAACGAACCAAGUUACCCUAGGGAUAACAGCGCAAUCCAUUUCAAGAGCCCCUAUCGACAAAUGGGUUUACGACCUCGAUGUUGGAUCAGGGUAUCCCAGUGGUGCAGCCGCUACUAAAGGUUCGUUUGUUCAACGAUUAAAACCCU
This 564-nucleotide ribosomal RNA is filed under the name Boana albopunctata (spotted treefrog). RNAcentral describes it as "partial large subunit ribosomal RNA". It matches the Rfam family "Bacterial large subunit ribosomal RNA", at positions 1835 to 2597 of the family's 2925-position model. The record is from RNAcentral. Lineage: Eukaryota; Metazoa; Chordata; Amphibia; Anura; Hylidae.